GAUGAAGAACGUAGCGAAAUGCGAUAAGUAGUGUGAAUUGCAGAAUUCAGUGAAUCAUCGAAUCUUUGAACGCACAUUGCGCCCCUUGGUAUCCCGAGGGGCAUGCCUGUUCGAGCGUCAUUUCACCACUCAAGCCUGGCUUGGUGUUGGGCGACGUCCCCUUUGGGGACGCGCCUCGAAACGCUCGGCGGCGUGGCACCGGCUUUAAGCGUAGCAGAAUCUUUCGCUUUGGAAGUCGGGGCCCCGUCUGCCGGAAGACCUACUCGCAAGGUUGACCUCGGAUCAGGCAGGGAUACCCGCUGAACUUUAGCAUAUCAAUAAGCGGAGGA
This 329-nucleotide unclassified non-coding RNA is filed under the name soil metagenome. RNAcentral describes it as "partial contains 5.8S ribosomal RNA, internal transcribed spacer 2, and large subunit ribosomal RNA". The stretch from base 1 to 120 matches the Rfam family "5.8S ribosomal RNA", at positions 35 to 154 of the family's 154-position model. The record is from RNAcentral.